Molecule: ribosomal RNA, 253 nt
Filed under: uncultured bacterium
Lineage: Bacteria
Description: partial 16S ribosomal RNA
Rfam family: Bacterial small subunit ribosomal RNA
Source: RNAcentral
UACGUAGGGUGCGAGCGUUGUCCGGAAUUAUUGGGCGUAAAGAGCUCGUAGGCGGUUUGUCGCGUCGGCCGUGAAAGCCCGGGGCUUAACCCCGGGUCUGCAUUCGAUACGGGCUAGCUAGAGUGUGGUAGGGGAGAUCGGAAUUCCUGGUGUAGCGGUGAAAUGCGCAGAUAUCAGGAGGAACACCGGUGGCGAAGGCGGAUCUCUGGGACGGUACUGACGCUGAGACGCGAAAGCGUGGGGAGCGAACAGG